AGGCUUUGUAGAGGAUGGAAU
RNAcentral lists this microRNA (21 nucleotides) under Fragaria vesca subsp. vesca. RNAcentral's name for it is "fve-miR11283". Lineage: Eukaryota; Viridiplantae; Streptophyta; Magnoliopsida; Rosales; Rosaceae. The record is from miRBase by way of RNAcentral.